UACGAAGGGGGCUAGCGUUGUUCGGAAUUACUGGGCGUAAAGCGCACGUAGGCGGAUACUUAAGUCAGGGGUGAAAUCCCGGGGCUCAACCCCGGAACUGCCUUUGAUACUGGGUAUCUCGAGUCCGGAAGAGGUGAGUGGAAUUCCGAGUGUAGAGGUGAAAUUCGUAGAUAUUCGGAGGAACACCAGUGGCGAAGGCGGCUCACUGGUCCGGUACUGACGCUGAGGAGCGAAAGCGUGGGGAGCAAACAGG
This 253-nucleotide ribosomal RNA is filed under the name uncultured bacterium. Its description in RNAcentral is "partial 16S ribosomal RNA". It matches the Rfam family "Bacterial small subunit ribosomal RNA", at positions 524 to 776 of the family's 1533-position model. The record is from RNAcentral.